Molecule: ribosomal RNA, 396 nt
Filed under: uncultured bacterium
Lineage: Bacteria
Description: bacterial SSU rRNA
Rfam family: Bacterial small subunit ribosomal RNA
Source: RNAcentral
AUUGAACGCUGGCGGCAUGCCUUACACAUGCAAGUCGAACGGCAGCACGGGAGCAAUCCUGGUGGCGAGUGGCGAACGGGUGAGUAAUAUAUCGGAACGUGCCCAGUCGUGGGGAUAACGUAGCGAAAGCUACGCUAAUACCGCAUACGAUCUAUGGAUGAAAGCGGGGGAUCGCAAGACCUCGCGCGAUUGGAGCGGCCGAUAUCAGAUUAGGUAGUUGGUGAGGUAAAGGCUCACCAAGCCGACGAUCUGUAGCUGGUCUGAGAGGACGACCAGCCACACUGGGACUGAGACACGGCCCAGACUCCUACGGGAGGCAGCAGUGGGGAAUUUUUGGGACAAUGGGCGCAAGCCUGAUCCAGCAAUGCCGCGUGCAGGAUGAAGGCCUUCGGUUGU